Molecule: ribosomal RNA, 472 nt
Filed under: uncultured bacterium
Lineage: Bacteria
Description: partial 16S ribosomal RNA
Rfam family: Bacterial small subunit ribosomal RNA
Source: RNAcentral
GACGAACGCUGGCGGCGUGCUUAACACAUGCCAGUCGAACGCUGAAGCUUGGUGCUUGCACUGGGUGGAUGAGUGGCGAACGGGUGAGUAAUACGUGAGUAACCUGCCCUUGACUCUGGGAUAAGCCUGGGAAACUGGGUCUAAUACUGGAUACGACAUGUCACCGCAUGGUGGUGUGUGGAAAGGGUUUUACUGGUUUUGGAUGGGCUCACGGCCUAUCAGCUUGUUGGUGGGGUAAUGGCUCACCAAGGCGACGACGGGUAGCCGGCCUGAGAAGGUGACCGGCCACACUGGGACUGAGACACGGCCCAGACUCCUACGGGAGGCAGCAGUGGGGAAUAUUGCACAAUGGGCGGAAGCCUGAUGCAGCGACGCCGCGUGAGGGAUGACGGCCUUCGGGUUGUAAACCUCUUUCAGCACGGAAGAAGCGAAAGUGACGGUACGUGCAGAAGAAGCGCCGGCUAACUACGUG